RNAcentral lists this ribosomal RNA (489 nucleotides) under uncultured bacterium. RNAcentral describes it as "bacterial SSU rRNA". It matches the Rfam family "Bacterial small subunit ribosomal RNA", at positions 36 to 518 of the family's 1533-position model. The record is from RNAcentral.
CUGGCGGCGUGACCUAACACAUGCAAGUCGAACGAAGUAUGUUUUCGAAAUAUACUUAGUGGCGGACGGGUGAGUAACGCGUGAACAAUCUGCCCUAUACAGAGGAAUAGCCUCGGGAAACCGGGAUUAAAACCGCAUGACACUUUAGUAUCGCAUGAUACAGAAGCUAAAUUGAAUUAGAGGUAUGGGAUGAGUUCGCGUCUGAUUAGCUAGUUGGUAGGGUAAAGGCCUACCAAGGCGACGAUCAGUAGCCGGCCUGAGAGGGUGGACGGCCACACUGGGACUGAGAACGGCCCAGACUCCUACGGGAGGCAGCAGUGGGGAAUAUUGCGCAAUGGGGGAAACCCUGACGCAGCGACGCCGCGUGAGCGAAGAAGGCCUUCGGGUUGUAAAGCUCUGUUGUAAGGGACGAAUGUCUAGGGUAGUAACUGACCUUAGAAUGACGGUACCUUACCAGCAAGCCCCGGCUAACUACGUGCCAGCAGCUGC